AUACAAGGAUUGUGUUGGAUCUUGCAAAGGUUCAGUUUAGUACGUAUAGUUACUUAUGCU
This 60-nucleotide transfer RNA is filed under the name Paramphistomum cervi. RNAcentral's name for it is "tRNA-Cys". Lineage: Eukaryota; Metazoa; Platyhelminthes; Trematoda; Plagiorchiida; Paramphistomidae. The record is from RNAcentral.